UACGAAGGGGGCUAGGCGUUGUUCGGAAUUACUGGGCGUAAAGCGCAACGUAGGCGGAUUGUUAAGUUAGGGGUGAAAUCCCAGGGCUCAACCCUGGAACUGCCUUUAAUACUGGCAAUCUCGAGUCCGAGAGAGGUGAGUGGAAUUCCGAGUGUAGAGGUGAAAUUCGUAGAUAUUCGCAAGAACACCAGUGGCGAAGGCGGCUCACUGGCCCGGUAUGACGCUGAGGUGCGAAAGCGUGGGGAGCGAACAGGA
This 255-nucleotide ribosomal RNA is filed under the name uncultured bacterium. Its description in RNAcentral is "partial 16S ribosomal RNA". It matches the Rfam family "Bacterial small subunit ribosomal RNA", at positions 524 to 777 of the family's 1533-position model. The record is from RNAcentral.